GGUCAGGACGAACGCUGGCGGCGUGCUUAACACACGCAAGUCGAACGGAGUUAAGCGCUGGUCUGAUGCUAGCUUGCUAGUGGAUUUCCUGCUUAACUUAGUGGCGGACGGGUGAGUAACGCGUGAGUAACCUGCCCCUCAGUGGGGAAUAACGCCCUGAAAAGAGCGCUAAUACCGCAUAACAUAUUUUUGUCGCAUGGCAGAGAUAUCAAAGAUUUAUCGCUGAGGGAUGGACUCGCGUCCGAUUAGCUUGUUGGCGGGUAACGGCCCACCAAGGCGACGAUCGGUAGCCGGACUGAGAGGUUGAACGGCCACAUUGGGACUGAGACACGGCCCAGACUCCUACGGGAGGCAGCAGUGGGGGAUAUUGCGCAAUGGGGGGAAACCCUGACGCAGCAACGCCGCGUGGAGGAUGACGGUUUUCGGAUUGUAAACUCCUUUUAUGGGGGACGAACCAAGACGGUACCCCAUGAAUAAGCUCCGGCUAACUACGUGCCAGCAGCGGC
This 506-nucleotide ribosomal RNA is filed under the name uncultured bacterium. RNAcentral describes it as "bacterial SSU rRNA". It matches the Rfam family "Bacterial small subunit ribosomal RNA", at positions 22 to 518 of the family's 1533-position model. The record is from RNAcentral.